CAGUAGCCGCGGGAACACGGAGGGUGCAAGCGUUAAUCGGAAUUACUGGGCGUAAAGCGUGCGUAGGCGGCUUCUUAAGUCGGAUGUGAAAUCCCUGAGCUUAACUUAGGAAUUGCAUUCGAUACUGGGAAGCUAGAGUAUGGGAGAGGAUGGUAGAAUUCCAGGUGUAGCGGUGAAAUGCGUAGAGAUCUGGAGGAAUACCGAUGGCGAAGGCAGCCAUCUGGCCUAAUACUGACGCUGAGGUACGAAAGCAUGGGGAGCAAACAGGAUUAGAUACCCCGGUAGUCCCUGUCUCUUAUAC
Molecule: ribosomal RNA, 301 nt
Filed under: uncultured bacterium
Lineage: Bacteria
Description: partial 16S ribosomal RNA
Rfam family: Bacterial small subunit ribosomal RNA
Source: RNAcentral